CCCAGUGGUUAGUCAGCUAUCCAGUGCCAAUCCGUGCCUGUGAUAGUGUUACAUUGCUGGGAGAUCAAGACAAUGCACCCAAUGCUUGUGUCCCACUGUUACUGUUCUGGUGACAUGUAGCACUUGCAACUAAGCAUUGUUGUACUUCCUCGAGUGCGCCAAACAUCUACCAUGUUUGUUUUGAAGCUAGUCUGGAAGCACACAGA
This 206-nucleotide small nucleolar RNA is filed under the name Leptobrachium leishanense (Leishan spiny toad). Its description in RNAcentral is "Small nucleolar RNA SNORA74 (ENSLLEG00000017314.1)". It matches the Rfam family "Small nucleolar RNA SNORA74". From Rfam's summary of the family: U19 belongs to the H/ACA class of snoRNAs. snoRNAs bind a number of proteins (including dyskerin, Gar1p and Nop10p in the case of the H/ACA class) to form snoRNP complexes. This class are thought to guide the sites of modification of uridines to pseudouridines by forming direct base pairing interactions with substrate RNAs. The record is from Rfam by way of RNAcentral. Lineage: Eukaryota; Metazoa; Chordata; Amphibia; Anura; Megophryidae.